AUGCUAACUUGUGGGUUCAGAUCCUUAUUAUCAGAUCAUGUCACUCUUCCGACUCCAAAACCGAUGAGCUCUCAAAAACGACUCAUGAUUCUUUUUCAGUGUCAAUCAAUGGUUUCCUUAAUUGCAAGACAGCGACUCCCCAUGUUAUCGAUCUGGUACAGUGUUAUUGUGCGUGAGGACGACACAGGGAAAGGUGCAACAAGGCAGCGCUCGCGUUGCAGUGGACUGGAGUCCGCCAUCACCACCGACCGCUGCUCGCCGAUCGUCGUCCCUCAUCCCCCAUCUAGAUGUUUGCGGAUCAGGCGAAGAAGAGAGGAAUGA
This 321-nucleotide ribosomal RNA is filed under the name Triticum aestivum (bread wheat). RNAcentral's name for it is "partial small subunit ribosomal RNA". The record is from RNAcentral. Lineage: Eukaryota; Viridiplantae; Streptophyta; Magnoliopsida; Poales; Poaceae.